CCUACGGGAGGCAGCAGUGGGGAAUAUUGCACAAUGGGGGAAACCCUGAUGCAGCAACGCCGCGUGAGUGAAGAAGUAUUUCGGUAUGUAAAGCUCUAUCAGCAGGGAAGAAGAUGACGGUACCUGACUAAGAAGCCCCGGCUAACUACGUGCCAGCAGCCGCGGUAAUACGUAGGGGGCAAGCGUUAUCCGGAUUUACUGGGUGUAAAGGGAGCGUAGACGGUGAUGCAAGUCUGAAGUGAAAGGCCGGGGCCCAACCCCCGGACUGCAUUGGAAACUGUAUGGCUGGAGUGCAGGAGAGGUAAGUGGAAUUCCUAGUGUAGCGGUGAAAUGCGUAGAUAUUAGGAGGAACACCAGUGGCGAAGGCGGCUUACUGGACUGUAACUGACGUUGAGGCUCGAAAGCGUGGGGAGCAAACAGGAUUAGAUACCCGAGUAGUC
Molecule: ribosomal RNA, 440 nt
Filed under: uncultured bacterium
Lineage: Bacteria
Description: partial 16S ribosomal RNA
Rfam family: Bacterial small subunit ribosomal RNA
Source: RNAcentral